GAAAAUAUAGUUUAAAAAAUAUUGUUUUUGUAAAACAAAGUUAAUUUAUAAAAAUUUAUUUUCA
Molecule: transfer RNA, 64 nt
Filed under: Paratetraonchoides inermis
Lineage: Eukaryota; Metazoa; Platyhelminthes; Monogenea; Dactylogyridea; Tetraonchoididae
Description: tRNA-Thr
Source: RNAcentral